GACAACUCUUUGGAGAUUUAGUUCUCUUGCUUGGAUACCGCUAAUAAGAAACUUCUCUCUCCGCUUCAAUAUACAAGCCUUUAACAGUGUAGUUGCCGGCAUGAAGUUCCUCUCUCUCUUUCUCCAUUUCAACAACUCAGGUCACUGAACCGAGACCGCCUGAGGUCGUAGGGGGAGGUCGCAAGAACGAGAUCACGACCUUGCAUCCUCCGGAGAUGGAGGGCUUUCAACGUCACUGGGGUGGCACGGUGUAGAGCGGUGCACAUGAGGUGGGAGAGGAGAGAAAAGGUGUGCUAAACUUAUAAAAUGUGUAGCAUCAAGGGUAGAGUUUGGGUAGAGUUUAAGUUUUUGUGAUUUGGUUGAGGCGUUUGGUCUUCCAGUCUUAAUCUUUGCUUGUACACUUUUCUAUUUCUUGCCCGGCAUGCCACGAGUGAUUACUACGCGCCUUUCUGCUUAUCGGCC
RNAcentral lists this long non-coding RNA (462 nucleotides) under Eucalyptus grandis. Its description in RNAcentral is "long non-coding RNA (EGRA_LNC005893)". The record is from RNAcentral. Lineage: Eukaryota; Viridiplantae; Streptophyta; Magnoliopsida; Myrtales; Myrtaceae.